CCAAUGGGAGUGAGCGGCAGGUCUGGAGGCGGAGAAAAGAGGGAGAGAAGUUGGAGGAGAGAGUGAGAGACAGAGUCGGAGAGACGGAGAGCCGUAGAUUGAGUGUUUGUCGGUGGAGUCACAUAUUAAAUCGCAGACUUUACAGCUCAUCUGGGGACUCUUACUUCACAUCCACGCCGUCGUCUUUUUCCCCCACCACCUCCGGUUUCAUGCUGCUUACGUGCAGCCACAGGUUGACCGAUUUAUCCCAGUCACCAUGGAUUAUUCCUCUUCAUCCACUGCCGAUUGUCACUGACAGGAUCAAAAUGGGAACGAUCAAUACAUCACCGAUGACUGGGAGAGAGACAAACUGAUCUUAUCAAGUGAGCGGAAGACGGAGCCAUCAUCAGCGGGGAAGCGACGCGCAUUUUCGAGAGAUAAGACCUGUGGAGGACCUAUAUGAAGGGAGACGAAGCGAAAAGAUGAUGGGAUGGCCGUGACAACAUGAAAAAGAAAAAGUGCUGUGGUCUGCUUUCAUCCAGUCCGUGAUUCGACACAACUAACCUGGGGGGAAAGGGACCGAGGCAGAAGAGGUCGGAGACAGGUGUGCAGCCACAGCUGUGAUCAUGGAGCCUCCCCCUUCUCUGAGCUUGGCUCUGCUAGGAGGGAGCGAGGAUGAGGACCAGCGAUUCCUCCUUCCCCUGGGCAGUAUAUCCCAUCCUUCCACCGCUGGCACCCAGCCAGGAUCAAACCACUCCAACCACAUGGGAGGAUCAAGCCUCGACCGUCUAAACGGCAGCACCUCAUCCCCCUCGCCUGCCACGCCCAACUUGCCCCCAGCAUCUCUCCCGAAGUUACCACUUUCCUCCGCUGGAGCUCAGCCUUUGCCUCCACCCAUCCCCAAUGCCCUGCACCCCACCAGCACCCCACUCUCUUCCUGUCUGGGUUCACAGCACAGCCUGAGUGGGGACAACUCCCCAGUCUACAACGCCCUUUUUUACUCGUCCCAUUCGCCGUCCAUGGAGCGGGAGAGGGACAGAGAGCGCGACAGGGACAGGGAGAGGGGGUGCAAACACAGACAGGCCAGCCCUCUGGUUCACCGUAGGGACAGUAACCCCUUCACGGAGAUUGCCAUGAGUUCCUGUAAGUACACAGGUGGCGUCAUGAAGCCCCUGAGCCGCCUCAGCGCAUCCCGGAGAAACCUAAUCGAGUCAGACAGCAGCAGUGAAACCAAAGAGGGCGCCGUUUCAGCUGUUGCUGGCGCAACUGCUGCUGGGGGACAUGACCGGCAGCGAGAAGCCCCCCCUACCUGUUCGGUGACCCAGUCCUCCACCAACCAACCCCCAAUUCAGAGCCCACCAGAGAUUGUGAUUUCAUCCAAAGAAGAUUCCCCGUACCUCAGAGGAGGUUAUGACAUCACCGACUCCACAUCCAACCAGAUGUCCAUCUACCACCAGAACCACGCACUAGUGGAGAGCAGGCGUUCGCAGUCAGGGAGGGGCAGCAGGCAGGGAGGGGUUGGGGCAGUGGGCACCGGGGCCAGGGGCAGCACCUCCAAGGCUCCCAAACGAAAGAACCAAAACAUUGGGUAUAAACUGGGGCACCGCAGGGCGCUGUUCGAGAAGAGGAAGCGGCUGAGCGACUACGCCCUCAUCUUUGGAAUGUUUGGCAUCGUAGUCAUGGUGAUUGAGACAGAGCUGUCGUGGGGCGUGUACACGAAGAGCUCCAUGUACUCUCUGGCCCUGAAGUGUCUGAUCAGCCUGUCCACUGUCAUCCUGCUGGGGCUCAUCAUAGCUUACCACGCGCGGGAGGUUCAGCUGUUUGUCAUCGACAACGGAGCAGACGACUGGCGAAUCGCCAUGACGAUGGAGAGGGUUCUGCUAAUCGCCCUGGAGCUGCUCGUUUCUGCUGUGCAUCCGGUGCCUGGGGACUUUAAGUUUCAGUGGCGGGCACGGCUGGCCUUCUCGUACGCGCCUUCGCAGGCCGAGGCUGACCUGGACAUGGUGCUGAGCGUGCCCAUGUUCCUGCGCCUCUACCUCAUUGCCAGAGUCAUGCUUCUGCACAGCAAACUGUUCACCGACGCUUCCUCCAGGAGUAUAGGUGCCCUCAAUAAGGUCCAUUUUAACACGCGGUUUGUAAUGAAAACCCUUAUGACGAUCUGCCCUGGGACGGUGCUGCUGGUCUUCAGCAUCUCUCUGUGGAUCAUUGCUGCCUGGACCGUACGAGUGUGUGAGAGGUAUCAUGAUGCCCAGGAUGUGACCAGUAACUUCCUGGGAGCCAUGUGGCUUAUCUCUAUUACUUUCUUGUCUAUUGGCUAUGGAGACAUGGUUCCUCAUACUUACUGUGGCAAAGGAGUCUGUCUGCUCACAGGCAUCAUGGGUGCGGGCUGUACGGCUCUGGUGGUUGCCGUGGUAGCCAGGAAGUUGGAGCUGACCAAGGCCGAGAAACAUGUACACAACUUCAUGAUGGACACGCAACUCACCAAGAGGAUAAAGAAUGCAGCUGCUAACGUACUAAGAGAGACUUGGCUCAUCUACAAACACACCAAGCUGAUGAAGAAGAUCGACCAUUCGAGAGUCCGCAAACACCAGCGGAAGUUCCUCCAGGCUAUACAUCAAUUACGCAGCGUGAAAAUGGAGCAGAGGAAACUCAGCGAUCAGGCCAACACACUAGUGGAUCUCUCAAAGAUGCAGAGUGUCAUGUAUGAGCUCAUGUCCGAGCUCAACGACCGCAGCGAGGACUUGGAACGUCAGAUGCUGUCCCUGGAGCAGCGGGUGGAGCAGCUCACGGCGGGCUUCAACGCCUUGCCCGCUCACCUGUCUGCAACCCUCAGCGCCCAGCAUGCUGCCCUGGUUCACCUGCUCCGGGAGAGGGAUGCAAGGGAUGGUAGAGGAGGAGGAGGAGGUGCUGUGGUCCCACUGUCCCCUGCUGCUUCUUUAACCACUGCGCCAGCUUCAGUGUCUCCAGUCCAGGUCACAGCUCCUGCACCACCCUCAGCUCCGGUUUCUACUUUGGCGUUGGAGUCCCCUCUGUCGCCCCCACCCCUGAGCCCAGAGGGGAGCUUGGAGGCUAGCUCCAACCCCAACACGUGCACCUCUAGCUGCUGAGGACAGCUUUUUUUCUUUUCUUUUUUUUUCUUGGACCAGGAGAGGACAAAUAUGAGGAAAAAACAGGGAGGAAGGACGGGGGCUGCGCUAGUCCUCACACUUCAGACUAAAGGAGAGAAAUGGGAGAUGAGAGAAAUGUCUGGUGAUCCUCGGAAACUAACGCUCCAAGAGGGAGGGAGGAAGACUAUGAGGAGAAAUAAUGGGAUUAAGAUGGAGGGCCUGUAUGAGUGAUGAGACAUGUUAGGGACUUUGGGGCGCUUUACUUGAUGAGGGAAGGAGAAGAAAAAUGGGGAUAAAAUGGAGACUCUAAAAGGUGUGAGGGGGAGGAAGGAUGCCAAGAGGGUGAGAAAUGGAGGUAGAGAGAAUGAGGAGGACGAAAGAGAGAGGAGGAGAAAUAACGAAGAAUAAUUAUAUGAACUCCUAAAUGGAAUCCACUCCAAUUACUGAAGAAUGCCUUUUAUUAUCUCUAUCUCCCUCUCUUCUACGUCUCUCUUUCUCCCUCUCUUUCCUUCCCCCUUCCCAAUCCCUCACUCCCGUCAUCAGGAAUUAAUGACCAUGACUUUUUAUCCUUAUGAUGUAUUUUCUAUCUGAAUGCUAAUUGUGUAUUAACGAGCAUCCCUUUAACAAAAGGUUCGAUCAAUACGACCACGAUUAAAAAAAAUGAAAAAUAAAAAAAUAAAUAACUAGUGGCAUGCACCACACACACACACACACACGAAUCACGUCAUCCACGCAAUACAAGCUAACACAGCACAAACACAAACAUGCAGACUCUCACAAAGGCCCUAUUUACGCUCACACACAGAAAAUAAUGCACUAGCCCACAAGAUGAUACUAAAAGCCAAUACUGCCAAGCACAUGAUGCACUGUCAAUCUCCAUAGAGCACUGCCAAGCGAUGUGGACACACUGUAAAAAAUGUUCAUCGUAACAAUUUAUCUUUUGUGGGUGUGAGCUGAUGCAGUAGUUUAGACUUACGAUGCGUAGUUGUGACAUUUUAACUACUCAGCCGGGAGAAUUGUAACCAUUCAGUGAACUACACAAAUUAUAGAUCAAGCUGAAACAAGCUGAUACAGAGGGACGUGAGUCAUCAUAAUGUCUGUUUGUGAUGAUGACGACAGUAGCUGAUGGUAAAAUAACCUAACACAACUACUACAGGACUUUAUUACUGCAUUUACAGAAUUACAGAUUGAAAUGAACUGAUGUUUAAAGUGUACUUUGCUGUGCUGAAAUGAGACUUUGAUCUUGUUUCAUUUCUGUGGAUGUUUCGUAUGACAGCAGCAGAAAGUGGACAAUUAAUAGUUGUAUUAAGUGCAUUAAUACUGGAGGCGGAUAUUAGAAGAAAGAUUAGCUUAUUAUACACAUAUUUUUUGUACUGGCAUUUAAAAACGGUUGAUUAAUUUCUGAAGAUGAUACCCGUUAAAACAAACCCUGCAGAACUCUAAAGUUGGCUCUUUGCACAAUCUUGAUGCUCCACAUUUAGUGCGAGUUCUCGUUUAAUGCCACUAAAUUUGGGUGUAUUGACCCAAAGAUCUACCGCAGAUACGGUUAGGUCCAUAACUUGUUGGGCAAAGACAUAUUUUUUUUGUUGUUUUGUCUCUCCAUGCCACCACUGUGGAUUAGAAAUCAAACAGGUUGUGAUUGAAGUGCAGAAAUUCAGCUUUAAUUUAAGAGGUUUUACCCAAAAAAUGCAUUAACUUUAUUAAUUAUCCACAUUUUUAUGCACAGUCCCUCAUUUUCAGAGGCUCAAAAGUAAUAAUGGAUUGCAUUUAUAUAGCGCUUUACAAUUCCACUAUUCAUUCACUCUCACAUUCACACACUGGUGGAGGCAAGCCACAGUUGUAGUCACAGCUGCCCUGAGGCAGGCUGACAGAAGCGAGGCUGCCAUAUCGCGCCAUCGGCCCCUCUGGCCAUCACCAGUAGGCGGUAGGGUAAAGUGUCUUGCCCAAGGACACAACAACCAAGACUGUCCAAGCCAGGGCUCGAACCGGCAACCUUCCAAUUACAAGACGAACUGCCAACUCUUUAGCCACGAUCGUAUCUUAUAAAAGCAUCUUCACAAUUGAGAAGCAGCUUCAUAGCUAGGUGAGACCUGUUGCCUUGUUAUUUCAUGACAUGAUUCAAAGAGUGGAAUUUGUAUUUCAUAGUUUUUUAUUGUCAAUCCAAGUGAGGGGGGGUCAUCAUUAGGCUUAAAAAUUCACAAUAAGUCAAUAACUGUCAACUGCUGAGUGACCAAAUUAACCGUCUGGUACAUUCUUGAAAAGAAAGACAACAGAAAACAACUAAAAUGGAUGAUGAAAGAAUGGCUAAAAAACAACUUCACAGUAUCUCUCUGAGUAAAAAAACUCUCACCAGGAUGUACAGUAGGUGAUGUCAAAGUCUACAUUUGUAAGUGUGUAACUGUUAUUACAGAGGGUUUACAAUAAGCUGCAAACCAGUGGUUACACUUAAGAACACAUAGGCUAGAUUAUACUUGCUAAACAAAACAUCUAGAAAUGAAUAUUUAAAUAAAGAUGAGCUUGUGGCAGAAUUAUGGGAAGAGAGAAGGAAGGAGAAGGAAAGAGAGAAACACCUAUUGAUUUGAACAUAACACAUUAUCUGUCAGAAACAGUGGGAGAAGUGUUGGUGGAACCCCAUCACUAGUGUUUAUUGAUGGCGUGACUCCUAACAGAAGUGGCAGGAUGAAUUGUAAAGUGUACAGGGCUGUAUUCUCUGACUCAAAAAGACAUGGAGUAUUCGUCAAUGACCAAGUUAUUCACCUGAUCUCAGCCCAACGGAGCAGCUUUUCAGUUACUGAAGACAAAAACUGAAUGCAGAGAGACCCACAAACAAGCAGCAACUGAAGGCAGCUCCAGUAAAAGCCUGGCAGAGCAUCUCAAGAGAGGAAACACAGCGUUUAGUGAUGUCCAAGGCUGCAAAGGAUAAGUAUUUAAAACAGUCCUUAUUUUUAAAAUCAUGUUAGUUUGUCCAAUUAAAGUUUGAGCCUUUGAAAAUGGGGGACUGCGUCUAAACAGUUAAUGCAAAAACUUAGCAAAGCACCGUGAGUCAAAGCUGAAAGUCUGCACUUCAAUCACAUCCUGAUUACUUGAUUUAAAAUUCACUGUGGAGGUGUACAGAGGCAAAAUCACAAAAGUUGUCUCUUUCUCCAACAAAUUAUGGGCCUAACUGCACUGAAAACAAUCAAAACAAUAAAAAAAAAUCCUUUACUUGACUAAAGUCAGACCGACCUACAUGCAACUCUAUAAAUAUUGUCUGCCAUUGGCACUUGUUAAAAUCCAGCAGUGAUUUAGCUGUAUUACUCUAAGUUGUUUUUAUUAGUUGAUUUUUUUAUGACCUUUCAUAAAGGGAAGUAGAUCUUGUACUUUACUGCCAUUCUUUGUCAAACUUGUGGUCCCAAAACAGCUCGCUGUUAUCAUGAAUGUAUUCUGUGUAAAGAAAUACACUCAAACUCGCUUGCUCAAUCACUUAAACUGCCACACAGACACAGGAACAGACACCCACACGCACACACACACACACAUACACACACCUCGACAACCAAAGUGCUCUCUCUUAAAUGGACUUCAAUAAGAGGCAGGGAACGCUGCUGUCACUGGGGACAAAGGAUAGCAGGAGGCGUUGCAGAUAUCUUGACAAUAUUUCUGAGGGAAUAACUGUGAAAAUCUCGGCAUGGACUUGUUACAGUGCUGUACAUGGACUGCUGUAACAGAUGAUGGUGGACUAUGGAUGAACACAAGGGAACACAAAUAAACCUUACAAAGGAUAAAUGGCCAUGAAGGAACAGAUGUUCAUGAAAUAAAUAAAAUGAAAGACUGAGAUAUAUCUGAGAGGAAUUGUAAUGACGUGAUGGAAAAAGAGACAAGCCUACCUUUACAUUGGAGACAAUAUUGAAAACUAUCUUUUAGCGACACGCUGUGGCCGGAAUACUGAAUUACAUACGCUUGGAAUAUUGUACAGUAUGCUGUUAACGAAAUAUAGCUUUGUAUUGCUUAGUCUUUUCUACCAUUAUGAUUAAACGCAGUUAUAGCUGAUAUCUUACCUUAUUAAACUAUAGUAUUCUUCUCAUUCGUCAUGACAAUUAUAAUAUAUGUAUUAUCAAUACGUUAAAUAAUCACGAACAAGGAAAGUGCCGUUUGAGGUUGAAAUUAUUUUGUAAUUUUAUUUUAUCAGAGAGAAUUAAUAAAGUAUAUAUCUAUAACAUUACAGCU
Non-coding RNA from Oreochromis niloticus (Nile tilapia), 7292 nucleotides. The record is from RefSeq and is a predicted model, not a curated record. NCBI's taxonomy places the organism in Eukaryota, Metazoa, Chordata, Actinopteri, Cichliformes, Cichlidae.